Molecule: ribosomal RNA, 278 nt
Filed under: uncultured bacterium
Lineage: Bacteria
Description: partial 16S ribosomal RNA
Rfam family: Bacterial small subunit ribosomal RNA
Source: RNAcentral
ACUCCUACGGGAGGCAGCAGUGGGAAUAUUGGACAAUGGGGGAACCCUGAUCCAGCCAUGCCGCGUGUGUGAAGAAGGCCUUCGGGUUGUAAAGCACUUUCAGUGGGGAGGAAAGGUUGAUGGUUAAUACCCUAUCAGCUGUGACGUACCCACAGAAGAAGCACCGGCUAACUCCGUGCCAGCAGCCGCGGUAAUACGGAGGGUGCAAGCGUUAAUCGGAAUUACUGGGCGUAAAGCGUGCGCAGGCGGUCUGUUAAGCGAGAUGUGAAAGCCCCGGG